UCUCAAAUAGUUUAAAAAGAACAAAAUUUUGAAGAAAUUUAAGUAGAACUUCUUUUGGGAU
This 61-nucleotide transfer RNA is filed under the name Trioza erytreae. RNAcentral describes it as "tRNA-Phe". Lineage: Eukaryota; Metazoa; Arthropoda; Insecta; Hemiptera; Triozidae. The record is from RNAcentral.